CUGGUUUGUUCUGCUAUGUGCACCCAUUAUUUUCUCUGCAGGCACUCCCAUUCUGGUCCAACAACCUCUUGGAGCAUCAGCACAUUUUUUUAUCUCCUCCUCGUCGUUUAGGGGAAGCAAUUGUGCGUCUUUACUUUGGAUCAUUUGCGUGACGAGACACACCUGGACAAGACACGAGUGGCUGGAUGGAGCUGAUUGGUAGACGCAAGGAACGGGGCUAACGAGAACAGAUGGGACGGAUUUCGGCAAACGAGUGCAAAGGCGAAGCUGACAGAUGUAGGAAUGGUGGGGUAGUGAAGAGGGCAGUGGGGGUGGGAUUGAUGGAUUGGGCAGACUCAGCUGGAUGUUCAGCAGAGACCCCCGCCGCCCCCCAGCCCCACAUCCAUCACAGUCCAGACUGAAGGAGAACAGACCUCCAGAUGGACAGCACUGUGUUGCUGGGCCACCCGAGCGGACAUCUGGAGCACCUCGGAAGUACCCCAAAUUGUGACAGACGGCCGGCUCAGGUACCACCUGUGCCCUCUGCCGAUUUUUCAUGUAACUGUACUUUACUUGAGUGUUUAUUUCGUAUUCAUUUAUGUAACCUUGAUUUAUCCAGGUAAGGCAAUUGAGAACAGAUUCUCCUUUGCAAUGCCAACCUGGCAGCAGAGUAAAACAUGGCAAAACAAAAGCAAAUAAAAAUACAUAACAACAAACUGUACGGUAGGAUAUAGUUACCCGACACAUUACAUUACAUCUUAGCGCAUGGUGAAUAAAAGGUUCCAUUAGGAUGUACGGGGUGAGUUACAUUAUUCGUUGCAGAGUGUUUGGGGCAGAAGAUUGAAAAGAUUGGCAGUCAUGGCCAUCUCAGCUCAGCGAUGGGGGCGAUGACCGCGCUGCCUGGCACCCGUGGCCCGGUCGUGUCGAGUGAGCACCCAGGCGUAACACGGGGGAUUUAAUUGCGGUGCAAGGACUAAUUGUACGGCCAGGGCAGCUGCUAAUGAGUUAAUUCCAGGCCGCUCAUCCAUGAGCAGAAGAAACAAGUCCUCGGCGCGGUAAUUACGCCGCCGCUCAUUAACCUCCGAGCUUCAGCACACAGGAGAGCUGAAUGCGCUCGAUUCAGACGAUAAUGCUUUUUAACCGUGCGGAGGCAGACCGAGUUGAUUUGUAGAAACCCAUUUCUUUAUGUCAAAUAUACUUGGAUUUGUUUUCUUUAUCCUUUAAUUUUGGGUUAUUGCAAUACGUGUUUGUUAAUUCAUUCAUUUAUUUGUUUGUUUAUUUAUUCAGUGACUGUGGUAUGGUAGUUUAUCGAUUAAUUCAUGUAUUUAUUUCAAAAUCUUUCUUGUGUUUCUUGCAACUCAUUUUAUUCAAUUAGUCCAAAUACUAAUCAUUAUUAUCAUUUUAUGUUUUCAAUGUCAAAUGAUUUAAUUGUGGUCUAAUGCAAAGAGUGAUUAUUUAUUUAUUCAUUCAUUUCAAAUAUCAUUGAAUUUUUUUUAAAAUGUGGUUUAAUCCCACUAAAGUUUGUAUUUAUAAGCAAUAUAUAUGUAUUUGAGUCUAUAUACUUAAAACAUUCUUGAAAUUAACCAAUGAUGGUUAACUUGCUGAAAUAUACUUUGGAGUUAUUUGAUAUGGAAAGCAUUUUGAGAGGUUCAAUUUACAGAAGAAUGCAAGAAUGCGUCACGUGUUUGGGGGGGUCGACAGAAUGCUUCCCCACCCCAGGUGCUGGCCAGCCACAGUACACCUCUGUAAGUGUGUACGUGAGGGGGCUGACAGUGUGAACAUUUAUUCAUCUUAAAUUGAACCUAAGCAGCCGUUUUCAAAGCCAACUCGCGGAGGCCCGCAUGGCUCAACUUGCCAGGUUGCG
Molecule: long non-coding RNA, 1843 nt
Organism: Phyllopteryx taeniolatus (common seadragon)
Lineage: Eukaryota; Metazoa; Chordata; Actinopteri; Syngnathiformes; Syngnathidae
Exons: 3
Source: RefSeq, a predicted model, not a curated record